CCUACGGGAGGCAGCAGUGAGGAAUAUUGGUCAAUGGGCGCGAGCCUGAACCAGCCAAGUAGCGUGAAGGAUGACUGCCCUACGGGUUGUAAACUGCAGUUAUAAAGGAAUAAAGUGAGGCACGUGUGCCUUUUUGGAUGUACUGUAUGAAUAAGGAUCGGCUAACUCCGUGCCAGCAGCCGCGGUAAUACGGAGGAUCCGAUCGUUAUCCGGAUUUAUUGGGGUUAAAGGGAGCGUAGAUGGGUUGUUAAGUCAGUUGUGAAAGUUUGCGGCGCAACCGUAAAAUUUCAAUUGAUACUGGCAGCCUUGAUUACAGUUGCGGUAGGCGGAAUUCGUGGUGUAGCGG
This 346-nucleotide ribosomal RNA is filed under the name uncultured bacterium. RNAcentral describes it as "partial 16S ribosomal RNA". It matches the Rfam family "Bacterial small subunit ribosomal RNA", at positions 338 to 681 of the family's 1533-position model. The record is from RNAcentral.